This 363-nucleotide ribosomal RNA is filed under the name uncultured Delftia sp. Its description in RNAcentral is "bacterial SSU rRNA". It matches the Rfam family "Bacterial small subunit ribosomal RNA", at positions 1016 to 1382 of the family's 1533-position model. Lineage: Bacteria; Pseudomonadati; Pseudomonadota; Betaproteobacteria; Burkholderiales; Comamonadaceae. The record is from RNAcentral.
UCGAAAGAGAACCUGCACACAGGUGCUGCAUGGCUGUCGUCAGCUCGUGUCGUGAGAUGUUGGGUUAAGUCCCGCAACGGGCGCAACCCUUGUCAUUAGUUGCUACAUUCAGUUGGGCACUCUAAUGAGACUGCCGGUGACAAACCGGAGGAAGGUGGGGAUGACGUCAAGUCCUCAUGGCCCUUAUAGGUGGGGCUACACACGUCAUACAAUGGAUGGUACAAAGGGUCGCAACCCGCGAGGGGGAGCCAAUCCCAUAAAGCCAUUCGUAGUCCGGAUCGCAGUCUGCAACUCGACUGCGUGAAGUCGGAAUCGCUAGUAAUCGCGGAUCAGCAUGUCGCGGUGAAUACGUUCCCGGGUCUU